This 253-nucleotide ribosomal RNA is filed under the name uncultured bacterium. Its description in RNAcentral is "partial 16S ribosomal RNA". It matches the Rfam family "Bacterial small subunit ribosomal RNA", at positions 524 to 776 of the family's 1533-position model. The record is from RNAcentral.
GACGGAGGAUGCAAGCGUUAUCCGGAAUGAUUGGGCGUAAAGCGUCCGCAGGUGGCAGUUCAAGUCUGCUGUCAAAGACCGGGGCUUAACUUCGGAAAGGCAGUGGAAACUGAACAGCUAGAGUAUGGUAGGGGCAGAGGGAAUUCCUGGUGUAGCGGUGAAAUGCGUAGAGAUCAGGAAGAACAUCGGUGGCGAAGGCGGCUCACUGGUCCGGUACUGACGCUGAGGUGCGAAAGCGUGGGGAGCGAACAGG